Molecule: ribosomal RNA, 433 nt
Filed under: uncultured bacterium
Lineage: Bacteria
Description: partial 16S ribosomal RNA
Rfam family: Bacterial small subunit ribosomal RNA
Source: RNAcentral
AGCGAACGCUGGCGGCAGGCCUAACACAUGCAAGUCGAACGAACCUUUCGGGGUUAGUGGCGGACGGGUGAGUAACACGUGGGAACGUGCCUUUAGGUUCGGAAUAACUCAGGGAAACUUGUGCUAAUACCGAAUGUGCCCUUCGGGGGAAAGAUUAAUCGCCUUUAGAGCGGCCCGCGUCUGAUUAGCUAGUUGGUUGAGGUAAUGGCUCACCAAGGCGACGAUCAGUAGCUGGUCUGAGAGGAUGAUCAGCCACAUUGGGACUGAGACACGGCCCAAACUCCUACGGGAGGCAGCAGUGGGGAAUCUUGCGCAAUGGGCGAAAGCCUGACGCAGCCAUGCCGCGUGAAUGAUGAAGGUCUUAGGAUUGUAAAAUUCUUUCACCGGGGACGAUAAUGACGGUACCCGGAGAAGAAGCCCCGGCUACCUUCGU